RNAcentral lists this ribosomal RNA (200 nucleotides) under uncultured bacterium. Its description in RNAcentral is "partial 16S ribosomal RNA". It matches the Rfam family "Bacterial small subunit ribosomal RNA", at positions 29 to 234 of the family's 1533-position model. The record is from RNAcentral.
AGCGAACGCUGGCGGCAGGCCUAACACAUGCAAGUCGAGCGCGAAAGUUCUUCGGAAUGAGUAAAGCGGCGGACGGGUGAGUAAUACAUGGGAAUCUGCCUGGUAGCGGGGGACAACGUUUCGAAAGGAACGCUAAUACCGCAUACGCCCUACGGGGGAAAGGGGGGAUCUUCGGACCUCUCGCUAUCUGAUGAGCCCAU